Molecule: ribosomal RNA, 492 nt
Filed under: uncultured bacterium
Lineage: Bacteria
Description: partial 16S ribosomal RNA
Rfam family: Bacterial small subunit ribosomal RNA
Source: RNAcentral
AGUGAACGCUGGCGGUAGGCCUAACACAUGCAAGUCGAACGGCAGCACAGUAAGAGCUUGCUCUUACGGGUGGCGAGUGGCGGACGGGUGAGGAAUACAUCGGAAUCUACUUUUUCGUGGGGGAUAACGUAGGGAAACUUACGCUAAUACCGCAUACGACCUACGGGUGAAAGCAGGGGAUCUUCGGACCUUGCGCGAUUGAAUGAGCCGAUGUCGGAUUAGCUAGUUGGCGGGGUAAAGGCCCACCAAGGCGACGAUCCGUAGCUGGUCUGAGAGGAUGAUCAGCCACAACGGAACUGAGAAAAGGGCCAGACUCCCAAGGGAGGGAGCCGGGGGGAAUAUUGGACAAAGGGGGGAAGCCUGAUCCAGCCAUACCGGGGUGGUGAAGAAAGGCUUUGGGUUGGAAAGGCCUUUUGGUUGGAAAAAAAAGGAGGCGGUUAAUACCCCGCUGUUCUGACGGUACCCAAAGAAUAAGCACCGGCUAACUUCGUG